This 73-nucleotide transfer RNA is filed under the name Stegodyphus mimosarum. It matches the Rfam family "tRNA". From Rfam's summary of the family: Transfer RNA (tRNA) molecules are approximately 80 nucleotides in length. The record is from Rfam by way of RNAcentral. Lineage: Eukaryota; Metazoa; Arthropoda; Arachnida; Araneae; Eresidae.
GUCUUUGUGGUGUAAUGGUCAGCACACUCGGCGCGUAUUCGUGAGGUCCGAGGUUCGAGUCCCGGCGAGGGCA